Molecule: long non-coding RNA, 3750 nt
Organism: Symsagittifera roscoffensis
Lineage: Eukaryota; Metazoa; Xenacoelomorpha; Acoela; Convolutidae
Exons: 3
Source: RefSeq, a predicted model, not a curated record
AAGUCAGAGCAAUUUGAUUACUGUCAUGGUUAUCUUGGUGUUUAAAACGCCAGAAUACCGAGCGAGCAUAAUUUCAUCGUGGUCAAACAAACAGCUGAAUUACAACAAUGCGAAUAAAAAUUAUUAAACUGCAUUACCCGUCCAUAAGGCAUGUGCGAAAAACAAGAUAAAAUAAUGCCGUUGAAACGCUGAGCUUACACAACUAAUCAAUAGCUACUAGCAUUCAAACUUAGUUGGUUUUAAAAAUUAGAAAGAUUGAUUAAUGCAACUCAUACCUUGGUUCUCUUAUUGAAUUCGUCAAAGUACCAGUGUUUCGUGGAACCGUGUUCAGUUAACAACGACAGCAAUAAACUGACGAAUGAAUGGCUACUUCUGAUAGCUUCCAGAACCUCCAGUAUGUCGUUCCAGGUGGGUGUUCAGAUAUUAAUGAUUUCAGGUCUAUGUGUGACUGGUACAUGAACAUAUUUUUUCCCGAUUGGUUGGAAAACAAUACGCCCAAAGGAGUUUACCUUGUACCUCCUCUACCUCUAUCAAUGCCUCCUAACCCGCCUGAGGGAUCUUCAGGAGGUCAAAAAUCUGACAAUGUCGGAGACAAACAGUACAUUAAUUUCAGAACAGGACAAAAAUCGAAAAUCGAAGAAUUUAAUUUCGUGCAAAAAAUCCAAAAAUACGCCGUAGAAAAUGAAUUGCCAAUGUUCAUUUUUCACGGACUUGCUGUUGACAAAUUGCAAUGGGACAUGAUUUUAGCAGUUGCAAAACAUGAAAUGCCUUCCCAAUGCUUGGUCGACUUGCGAAAUAGUUCUAAAAUUAAACUCAACCAUAAAGGUUUCCCCGAAAACUUAGAGAUUGAUUGCAUGACUAUUGACCCAAAAAAUGGAGUUGUCUUGUGGGAGAUCAAAAGUCGCAGUUAUCAAGGUCAAGCGACGAAAGGUUUGAAAAAAAUCAAUCAGGCCCUCAAACAGCUGAACAGAGACGAAUUAUUUGUUUCUUGUAUUUCAAAACAUUUCUGCUCUUCGAGUCAUGCUGUUAAAACAAAAAAAAUUGUCGUCUUACUUGAAGACAAAAUCUCAGCAGAUGAAAACCUUGAGUUUGAAAAUUUUCGCGAAAUCUCAGCAGAUGAAAACCUUGAGUUUGAAAAUUUUCGCGAAUCUUACAAAAUUCUAGAUGCUUCAAAACUGGGAACGUGGGAGAGUUUUUCGAAUUGGUUUCGCUCCGAGAUCGAAUUUGAAACUCCCAGUAAUCCGGAACAAACAUACAAAACACUUGUUCCCAUAAUGGUUGGCAUAAGCGUUUCGGUUUCAGUAAAAUGCGAGAACACAGCUGAAGUUCGACCAACAAAAACUUAUUUUGAAGUUCGACCAACAAAAACUUAUUUUGAAAAUCUUUCUCAUGCUAAAGCAGUGCAAAAACUGGAUUCAGAAAUUUCUGAACAAAAGUUAUCGCGAGACAAAAAGCCGUUCAGCGACCUGGUUUCGACAUCUGAGCUAUCAUUCGCAAAAACCUCAAAGUCUUCGAAGCUUCUUUUCUUGACCCCACGGCAACAAGAUGUCUUAAGUUCUUCCAAUAACGGAACGAAGCUGAUAAUCGGACCGGCAGGGACAGGAAAAACUAUUUUGACGCUUCAUAAAAUCAUUAAUUUGUGUAAAACACAACCGGAAGACAAAAUACUUCUGCUCUGCAGCGGAAAAUUUAUCGAGUCAUACUGUAAAAUGCUAGAGGACAACGAAAUUUCAUGUGAAAGGCUAAUGAUGGAUGGUCGGUGUUAUAAGGAGGAGAAAAUUUGGAAACGCGAAUAUUUGACACGCACGGAUUACCGACCUUACAAAGGCAAAGUCUUCGAAUUUGUGUACGAACCGCUAUCUUCAGAUCUUCAAACGAAACAGAGCAUCAACACAAAAGCAUUUGGUCAAAAGCAAGUCAUCAUUGGGGAAACGACAGCUUUUCUAAACUCCCUAAAUGAAAAGGCUAAACAGUUUGUUUUGAAAAAAACUAAAAAAACUAAUGUUACAGAAGACUAUCGAUCAGAGACAUCACGCUGGGUUAUGAAAACACAUUUGGUCAUUGAUGAUUGUGAUUUACCCGUAAUUUGUGAGAGCCAAUUGAACCCCUUAAGUCUUUUAACCAGCGAUCAAUUUCUUACCUGGUUAGUUACUGACAUUCACCAAUCAAAUAAAACACUGAUUUCGAACAUAACGCACAUCAAAAAAUUGAGGUCGUCAAAAAGUGUUGAAGUUUUUAUUCUCGAAGAAGUUCUACGAAACACGGUUCAAAUUAACCAAAUGACCCGCCGACUCGUUGAAUACAUGAAUCGCAGUCUAGAAGACGACGGGCACGUUUACCCUGGUACUUUAAUAGAUGUAAAGCAAGGAUCUAAUUUCCAGGGACCUCCGAUAACUAUUUUUGAGCUUAAAAAAAACAUUGCAUCUCGAGGACUUUACCCAACUAAACUUAUAGCGUUCCUUCUAUGUCAAAUGAUGAAAGAAGGAAUGCAAGCUGGUGACAUUCAUUUUUUGACAUCUGGUGAGGGUGCAAAUUUUUUUAAAUUUUUGGGGAAAACCAUUCGCCUGGAGUAUCCCGAGCUUUUGUCGCAACUGGGAGUUAACGAUGAAACAGAAGUUGACUGGUCCAGUUUCUGUUCGCAGAUUUAUAUAACAAAGUCAUCCGAAUGGGAAAGGGUUAUUAUUGACGGUCGAUUCGAUGAAGAAAAUCGUCUUAAUUCGCUUAAUUAUGGUAAAUUCGAUGAAUCUGAUAUGAUAAACAUCUUAUAUCUGGCAUGUACACGCGCACGAUCUCAACUUUACAUUAUUGCCUAUCCAACGUUUAGCGACCUGCUGUCAGAGAAACUUGGUAUGCCGAUGGAAAAUCUGAUAGUUCAGAAGUACCAAUGGUGCGAAAAACACAACGAAUUGAAAAGGAGCAAUGAUGGAAGUGAUUCAGAAGAAGAAAUCGAGAGAGGUGGAAAGAAGUUCAAAUUUUUUUCUAAUUGAAUCAGAAGCAGAAUAUGAGAACUGCCAAUCCAGCUCGGCUUCAGAUCGAUGAUAAAACCCUACAAAGUUCCAUAAAGCAGAGAAAACAGAUUUUUAACAGUCGCUGUAAAAUAUUGCUUAUAAAGUAGUUCGUUGGUAGUUAGACUGAUUAACGUUUGUUAAUUUGAUCAAAGGUUUCUUAACAUGUUUAUAUGUUGUUAGAAUUCGGCCUGCUAAUUGAAGCAAAAUAGCUAAAAUUUCUGAAAUAUAAAGUGUUUUAUUUUAACAUUCGAAUUGGGUCAGUUAAACUCCGUGACUAGAUUAAUGUAAUUUGGUGUUAAAAUAUAUUUUAAAAAAACAUGUUUGAAAUAAACAGCGGUAAAUAAACUCAGAUUUUAUUUAAACGAAAGUUUUGAAAUCAUUUGCGGGAGGCCAGAAGGUCAUUUGAUUUGUUUAUUGACACUGAAAAGGCAAAGCAUUUAAAAACUGAAUCAAGAAAUUUUUUGUUCUGUUUUUUUUUACAGUUCAAUGAAAUUCCGUGAAUUUCUAACACACGUGAGCCUGUCUAAAACAGUUUUUGUAUGACUGCUACUUGUCAUUUCUUAAUUUACUCUGUAUCAUCACUUCGUUUUCAUUUAAAUCUAAUCUUUGACUCAUAUCGUUUUAGUUACGAGCAUCGCUUUGAUCUGAAGUUGUCUAUUUUUAAUUGGUUGUCUCUUUGUUCAUACCGUUGUUACAAUUCAUUUAGAAAUACCCUUUCAAUUUAACGCUUUUGACAUUUCAA